AGUCUUAUAUUCAAUUAUGAUUUUAAAUUGCAAAUUUAAAGGUGAAUUUUAUUCUAAGACUU
Molecule: transfer RNA, 62 nt
Filed under: Fontecilla graphicus
Lineage: Eukaryota; Metazoa; Arthropoda; Insecta; Neuroptera; Ithonidae
Also listed under: 3 other names
Description: tRNA-Cys
Source: RNAcentral